RNAcentral lists this ribosomal RNA (690 nucleotides) under uncultured Acidobacteriota bacterium. RNAcentral's name for it is "bacterial SSU rRNA". It matches the Rfam family "Bacterial small subunit ribosomal RNA", at positions 15 to 739 of the family's 1533-position model. The record is from RNAcentral. Lineage: Bacteria; Pseudomonadati; Acidobacteriota.
GAUCCUGGCUCAGAAUCAACGCUGGCGGCGCGCUUAACACAUGCAAGUCGAACGAGAAAGCCCGCAAGGGUGAGUAAAGUGGCGUACGGGUGAGUAACACGUGGGUAAUCUACCUUUUGGUGGGGAAUAACGCUGGGAAACCGGCGCUAAUACCGCAUAAGCUCGAGAGAGGAAAGGAGCAAUUCGCCGAAAGAGGAGCCCGCGGCUGAUUAGCUAGUUGGUGAGGUAAAGGCUCACCAAGGCAAUGAUCGGUAGCCGGCCUGAGAGGGCACACGGCCACACUGGCACUGAAACACGGGCCAGACUCCUACGGGAGGCAGCAGUGGGGAAUCUUGCACAAUGGGGGAAACCCUGAUGCAGCGACGCCGCGUGAGCGAUGAAGCCCUUCGGGGUGUAAAGCUCUUUCGGCAGGGACGAUAAUGACGGUACCUGAAGAAGAAGCUGCGGCUAACUACGUGCCAGCAGCCGCGGUAAUACGUAGGCAGCGAGCGUUGUUCGGAGUUACUGGGCGUAAAGAGUGCGUAGGCGGUUUUCUAAGUUUGGUGUGAAAUCUCCCGGCUUAACUGGGAGGGUGCGCCGAAGACUGGAAGGCUUGAGUAUGGGAGAGGUAAGCGGAAUUCCUGGUGUAGCGGUGAAAUGCGUAGAUAUCAGGAGGAACACCUGCGGUGUAGACGGCUUACUGGACCAUAA